RNAcentral lists this ribosomal RNA (265 nucleotides) under uncultured prokaryote. RNAcentral describes it as "partial 16S ribosomal RNA". It matches the Rfam family "Bacterial small subunit ribosomal RNA", at positions 524 to 788 of the family's 1533-position model. The record is from RNAcentral.
UACGGAGGAUCCGAGCGUUAUCCGGAUUUAUUGGGUUUAAAGGGUGCGUAGGUGGAUUGGUAAGUCAGUGGUGAAAGUUUGCAGCUUAACUGUAAAAUUGCCGUUGAAACUGCCGGUCUUGAGUGCAAAUGAGGUAGGCGGAAUGCGUCGUGUAGCGGUGAAAUGCUUAGAUAUGACGCAGAACUCCGAUUGCGAAGGCAGCUUACUGGGAUGCAACUGACGCUGAGGCACGAAAGCGUGGGUAUCAAACAGGAUUAGAUACCCG